GAUCAUUCAUUCGUUUGAUUUGUUGUUGACCUCUUUUGGAUCGACAUUGGGCUUUUAUCAUUAAUCGUCUUGAAUUCAUGCACGGAUUGUUCGUGAUAAGGGGAGUGCACUGUUGUUGGUGCACUUGUUAUAUCCAUCGAUCAAUCCAUCCACCCUUUAUUAAUGAUCUCAAAUCAGGCAAGAUUACCCGCUGAACUUAA
This 200-nucleotide unclassified non-coding RNA is filed under the name soil metagenome. Its description in RNAcentral is "partial contains internal transcribed spacer 2 and large subunit ribosomal RNA". The record is from RNAcentral.